This 514-nucleotide ribosomal RNA is filed under the name uncultured bacterium. Its description in RNAcentral is "bacterial SSU rRNA". It matches the Rfam family "Bacterial small subunit ribosomal RNA", at positions 26 to 518 of the family's 1533-position model. The record is from RNAcentral.
CUAGGACGAACGCUGGCGGCGUGCCUAAUACAUGCAAGUCGAGCGAAUGAUUAGAGAAGCUUGCUUCUCUCUGAUUAGCGGCGGACGGGUGAGUAACACGUGGGUAACCUACCCUAUAGACUGGGAUAACUUCGGGGAACCGGAGCUAAUACCGGAUAAUACUUUUGAACUCAUGUUCGAAAGUUGAAAGAUGGUUUCGGCUAUCACUAUAGGAUGGACCCGCGGCGCAUUAGCUAGUUGGUGAGGUAACGGCUCACCAAGGCAACGAUGCGUAGCCGACCUGAGAGGGUGAUCGGCCACACUGGGACUGAGACACGGCCCAGACUCCUACGGGAGGCAGCAGUAGGGAAUCUUCCACAAUGGACGAAAGUCUGAUGGAGCAACGCCGCGUGAGUGAAGAAGGAUUUCGGUUCGUAAAACUCUGUUGCAAGGGAAGAACAAGUAGCGUAGUAACUGGCGCUACCUUGACGGUACCUUGUUAGAAAGCCACGGCUAACUACGUGCCAGCCGCAGC